RNAcentral lists this non-coding RNA (30 nucleotides) under Homo sapiens (human). The record is from RNAcentral. Lineage: Eukaryota; Metazoa; Chordata; Mammalia; Primates; Hominidae.
UGAGCCGAGAUCGUGCCACUGCACCCCAGC